CCUACGGGUGGCAGCAGUGAGGAAUAUUGGUCAAUGGACGAGAGUCUGAACCAGCCAAGUAGCGUGAAGGAUGACUGCCCUAUGGGUUGUAAACUUCUUUUAUAUGGGAAUAAAAUGUUCCACGUGUGGGAUUUUGUAUGUACCAUAUGAAUAAGGAUCGGCUAACUCCGUGCCAGCAGCCGCGGUACUACGGAGGAUCCGAGCGUUAUCCGGAUUUAUUGGGUUUAAAGGGAGCGUAGGUGGAUUGUUAAGUCAGUUGUGAAAGUUUGAGGCUCAACCGUAAAAUUGCAGUUGAAACUGGCAGUCUUGAGUACAGUAGAGGUGGGCGGAAUUCGUGGUGUAGCGGUGAAAUGCUUAGAUAUCACGAAGAACUCCGAUUGCGAAGGCAGUUCACUGGACUGCAACUGACACUGAGGCUCGAAAGUGUGGGUAUCAAACAGGAUUAGAUACCCGAGUAGUC
Molecule: ribosomal RNA, 460 nt
Filed under: uncultured bacterium
Lineage: Bacteria
Description: partial 16S ribosomal RNA
Rfam family: Bacterial small subunit ribosomal RNA
Source: RNAcentral